ACAACAUUUUAUUUCAUCUCAAUUGUGAAAGAUCUAAAAAUCAUACACAGUGCAAAACAAUAAUAAGUAUGUAAAUGUGAUAAAAAUGUUCCUUGAAAAGGUACUACACAAUCAACAAACUUGCUUCUGCUUGCUUCAGAGAGAUCUCAACGAUACAGUUCGUGUCAUAGAUCUCAGAAUAAUUUUACACAGUAUUUUAGAUUUAACUUUCAACAGACUUCAAUCUUAUUUUCAUACCAUUACCUGGCACCAAAUAAGAUAUAUUUUUUUCAACUUACAGUAACUGGGACGUGUCAUAAAUAUUUUUUAAAAUUUUGUAUGAAACAUAUGUUUGUUUAACAUAAACUUAAAAUCGGAAAAUAACGUUUUUUGCAUAUUUUCGAAAUAUAAUUGAAUGAAAAUAAUAAAAUGAUAAAUGUUCAUUUGUAUGGAUAAAAUUGAUAAAAAGUGAUCUUAAAUUAUAUCAAUCAUCAAUAUUUCAAAAAUCAAUCCAUAGAUGUUUCUUUAAUAUUGGUGCAAGUUGGUGCUACAUAAAUAUUCGUUUGAUUGAUAUCAAGUAAUCGUAGAAUUACCC
RNAcentral lists this long non-coding RNA (574 nucleotides) under Mytilus galloprovincialis (Mediterranean mussel). The record is from RNAcentral. Lineage: Eukaryota; Metazoa; Mollusca; Bivalvia; Mytilida; Mytilidae.